This 1583-nucleotide long non-coding RNA is filed under the name Homo sapiens (human). RNAcentral describes it as "non-protein coding LINC02476:13". Lineage: Eukaryota; Metazoa; Chordata; Mammalia; Primates; Hominidae. The record is from RNAcentral.
CUCAUUUUCUCUUGCUGCUACCAUGGAAGAAGCGACUUUCGCCUCCCGCCGUGAUUCUGAGGCCUUUCCAGCCAUGUCAAACUCAAAAUGUGACUGAAAAACAGAAGCAUUUGGAAUACGUAACAGAAGUCAUUAAAAAGAGCCAUGUAAUAUGUGCCUGCUUCCCCUUCUGCCAUGAUUGUAAGUUUCCUGAUGCCUUCUCAGCCAUGCAGAACUAGUCUCACUCUAUUGCUCAGGCUGGAGUCAGUGGCGCAAUCUCAGCUCACUCCAACCUCCGCCUCAUGGGUUCAAAUGAUUCUCCUGCCUCAGCCUCCCAAGUAGAUGGGAUUACAGGCACAUGCCCCCAUGCCCAGCUAAUUUUUGUGUUUUUAGUAGAGACUAGGGUUUCACCAUGUUAGCCAGGCUGUUCUCAGACUCCUGACCUCAGGUGAUCCACCUGCCUCGGCCUUCCAAAGUGCUGGGAUUACAGGCAUGAGCCACUGCACCAAGCCUUAUUCUAUUGAUUAUUAUAAGAAGUGUUAACAUCUUGAACUAUGAUUAUAUAUUCAUCAAUUUAAGCAUAUACAUUUGAUUUUGUUAAGUCCUCCUGAAGAAGUCUGUUUAUAAUAUUAAAUAUCCUAGUUGAUCACUGUUUUAAAAUUUACUUUUUUAUAUAUUUUUUUUCACUUAAUGUAACUCUGAUCAAUGCUACUUCAGUAUGCCUGGAAGUGGAAAUUACAAUGUGGAUAUUUUUAAUGAGGAAAAAACUGGCUUUUAAUUUUCAAGUGAGUCUUAUGUACUCCCCCACAUAUUUAGACAUAUAUGUAUGUGUGCACGUGUGCCUAUAUAUACUUAUAUACUUCAUAUAUAUAUACACACACACAUAUAUGUGAAGAGAGAGAGAAUAUGUAUACACACAUACCACAUUUAGCAAGUUUUUAAGUACUUUAGGUGUCGAGCUGUGAAUGAGAAAAAAGAGCAGGGAAUUCAAAUAAAAAUAAUGUGGACUUAAUAUAAUUACUGGUAAUCUUAGAUUUUGUUUCUAUUUACUGUUGAAUUUUAGGUAAAAAUUCAGAAUAUCUUAGAAUAGCUCAUCAAAUUUCCAGUCCAUGAUAUAACCCAGCCCCAUCCCAUAGAACAUGAUACACUGAUUUUUACAUAUUAUAGUUCUUUUAUAUAUUUAGUGAGAAGCAUUAUUUAUCAAUUUUCUUUAAUGUCUUAUUGUAUUGUGUAUUAUAUAAAUAAUUCUAUCAGUAUAUUCCUGUUUAAAAAUGAUUUUUGUAAGGCUUCACUAAGUUGAAAUUUCCAGACAAAGAAAAAGUUGUACCGUCCCUUUUUUCCUUUAACGGAAUCAAGUAAAUCUGAAUGUGUUAGUGGUCUACAUUUCCACUGAGGAUAAUUGACAGACACUGAGGUCUCUCCUUUUAAGUAACUGUCAAAGAGUAUCCUAAGAGGCUCUAGGGAAUAUGGUAAGCGAUUGCUAAUGAUGUUUAUGUGUCUAAAUAUCAUCCUAACAAUGUAACACUCUCCCAUUAACAAAAUUGUUUCUACAAUUACCAUCAACAUUAUUCCAAUAAAUGUAAUCUUGUUAUUUCAUUAUGAAA